Molecule: ribosomal RNA, 298 nt
Filed under: uncultured bacterium
Lineage: Bacteria
Description: partial 16S ribosomal RNA
Rfam family: Bacterial small subunit ribosomal RNA
Source: RNAcentral
CUGGCCGUAAACGAUGUCGACUAGAUCGUGGUACCUCUGACGGUUUCACGGUCGAAGCAAAAGUGCUAAGUCGACCGCCUGGGAAGUACGGUCGCAAGGCUAAAACUCAAAGGAAUUGACGGGGGCUCACACAAGCGGUGGAGCAUGUGGUUCAAUUCGAAGCAACGCGCAGAACCUUACCUGGGCUUGACAUGCUUGGAUUAUCCUUAUGAAAGUAAGGUAGGCCCCGCAAGGGGUACAACAAGUACAGGUGCUGCAUGGCUGUCGUCAGCUCGUGUCGUGAGAUGUCGGGUUAAGU